CUCAGGCCCUCUGGCAACUCAGGCCCUCUGGCAACUCAGGCCCUCUGGCAACUCAGGCCCUCUGGCAACUCAGGCCCUCUGGCAAAUCAGGCCCUCUGGCAAAUCAGGCCCUCUGGGAUCUCUGUUGUUUGAGUUUCUGGCUAGUAGUAAGCCUAGGUAGUGUUCUCCUGAAGUUGGGAGAAGCUAGUUGGAUGCACUCUGUGGGCAAAUCUUAAAUCUCAGCCCUCUAUGGCUCUGGUGAAAAGUAGUGCACUAUAUUGGGAAUAGGGUGUACUUUGACAUUUUAGGAAAAGUGGACAAAUGAAGGGCGAAUCUUCAAUUUUUGUUCAGCUGCAAUAAUUUUCCCCCUCUUCUUUCCCUCCUUCUCUAUCCCUCACUCUCUCUCUACAUCAGGAAGCAGUUGGAGUUUGUUUUCUGUAGGAAAAAAAAGUAUUACGAGAGAGAGGGGGAGGAAGGGAGAGGGGGAGAGAUUUUGCUGAAGGACCAAAAUAUAAGUGAAAACACAUUUAGAAUGGAAACAACCUUCAAGGGGAUUUGAUCAGCCAGUCUGUUUCCAGAUAUGUGUUAGAAAACAUUCAAGAAAGUAUAUCAAAUGUACAUGCAUAAACAACAUGUGCUCUGUGGAUAAGCAAACUCUUAGCAUCGGCUUUUAAAUCAAAUAAAAAUGAACCAGAAACGUGAAAAUGGUCCAUUCUGUAACCACUAGUUUGGACACCGUCCUUGCUUUACCCUGUAAGUAUUUCACAUGAAGAGGACUGGUUUCCAGUGAAUCCUCAAAGUUGCAUCUCUUCAUGCUGCUUCUGUACGGCUCCACACAAGCGAGAACACGGGUUACUGUGGUUAAGCACAAGCUUACCUUCCACUUAUGAUAUCGUCAUGCCUUUUCAAUCUGUGUGUUUGUUUUUAUACACAUUUUCUCGUGUGCAUAAACUGUUUUUUCUCAACAUUCUCUUCCUGCAUCGGGACUCCUAGCCAAUGGGAUGGAUCCAGAAUGCUGUGAUGUAAAUACUAUCAGAGUGUCGUGGUAUGUUCUUUACACUAGAAUGUCAAUGGAAUGCACUUGAAAUGUUGACAUGUUUUGUUGUACAAAAUGAUGAUUAUUUUUUAACGUGUGGAUAUUUAAACAAAUAUUACAUUACUACUUGCAGUUAUGUCAAUGUUUAUUCUUAAAAAAUAAAAUGAAGCAAUAAAUGAAAAA
Oncorhynchus tshawytscha (Chinook salmon) is the source of this 1198-nucleotide long non-coding RNA. Lineage: Eukaryota; Metazoa; Chordata; Actinopteri; Salmoniformes; Salmonidae. The record is from Ensembl.